RNAcentral lists this non-coding RNA (86 nucleotides) under Pseudomonas protegens. The record is from RNAcentral. Lineage: Bacteria; Pseudomonadati; Pseudomonadota; Gammaproteobacteria; Pseudomonadales; Pseudomonadaceae.
UGUUAUGGCGGCUGUGCGUGGGGCGCCCUUUGGGUGCGCCGGGUUCCUUGGACCGGUCUGCUAACCCGCGUACAGCUGCCACCCUU